AACAAAUCAACUUUUCAGUUUUUAGAUACAAAUUUUAACUAUUCGUCUUAUUAAAAAAAAUUUAUGAUUAAUAGUUUAUUUUUAUUAGAUGAUAAAACAUCAAUAAUACUUUAUGUGUGACUAAUUUUUUAAAAAUUUCUUGAAAAUUUUCUAAAUAAGACUGAUGGUCAAAUGUUCGACACAAAAACCGA
RNAcentral lists this microRNA precursor (191 nucleotides) under Oryza brachyantha (malo sina). Its description in RNAcentral is "MIR812 microRNA precursor family". It matches the Rfam family "MIR812 microRNA precursor family". Lineage: Eukaryota; Viridiplantae; Streptophyta; Magnoliopsida; Poales; Poaceae. The record is from Rfam by way of RNAcentral.